This 495-nucleotide ribosomal RNA is filed under the name uncultured Ascomycota. RNAcentral describes it as "eukaryotic LSU rRNA". The stretch from base 176 to 327 matches the Rfam family "5.8S ribosomal RNA". Lineage: Eukaryota; Fungi; Ascomycota. The record is from RNAcentral.
CAUUACUGAGUCAUCUCGAUCCCGAGAUCCUCUCCACACUUGCGUUGCUUCAAUGUUGCUCCGGCAGAGCGCAAUCCGAUUGCUGCGAGCUCCCACGGAGUGAGCAAGUCUUUGCCGGGGGCCUUUACUCAUCAACUGCAAUCAGUCAGCGUUUACCCUCCAAUUGAGAACAAAAAACUUUCAACGACGGAUCUCUUGGUUCUGACAUCGAUGAAGAACGCAGCGAAAUGCGAUAAGUAGUGUGAAUUGCAGACUUGUGAAUCAUCGAAUCUUUGAACGCACAUUGCGCCCCUUGGUAUUCCGAGAGGCACGCCUGUUCGAGCGCCGUUUAACACCUAAGCCAUUGGCUUGCGUUGGCAUCGGUCGUCGCCACGACCGAGCUCAAACUCUGCGAAGCGUCUCCGUCGAGCAAGCACGUAGCGACUUACGAGCGACCUCCGGCGGGGACUGGCUCGUCCAACACCGAGUUUGGCCUCGAAUCAGGCGGGAUUACCC